UCCAGAAAAACAACAAAACCCCGUGAAGGGGCGACAACGCUGCAGAGCACACACCGGGUCGCUGUCUUUGUGGAGGAGGCGCAGGAAAGCGGCAGUUCCGCCGGUGGGCGGCUCCUGAGGGGCACCGCAGCCGGCGGGCGGAGGGGGGCGGCGUCCGGGCGGGGCGGCCGGUUGGGGCGGGGGACGGAGCACUUCCGUGAGCCGCUUCGCUUGGAGGACCCGGGAGAUGUGUCCUUGGCGGUGCCCGACUUAAAGGAGGUGUGGGGGCGCUGGGUAUCCUCGCGGCAUCUAGCCCGCGGCGGCCGCCGGGGGUUCUGUGCUGUAGGGAAGACCGCGCGCGUGUUCCGAUCCCUAAAAAGUCCGAGGCUGCGGCGGAUAGUCACAGAGCGGUCCCCAGCCGGCGCCGCGUCCUUACUGCGCACGCGCGACGCCGCCGGAGCCCGCGGGGACCCCCUCGGAGACCCCCUCGGAGACCCCCUCGGGGGUGUGGCGCCACUAGGAAGGGUUUGUCGCUGUUUUGCGCGUGCGCGCGCCCGAGCGCCGGAGCUGCAUGAGGUCUGGGGCCGGGCGUGUCUCAUCGGCUGGUGGCGGCGCCAGGGCCCCUGGUCGUGCUCUGGAGAUGCGGCGGUGGCCCGGGAGGCGGCAGGACGGCCAGGACAGGCGCGAGGGCCCUGGGAACAGCCCGGCAGUGCCUCCAGGGGAUUGCAUUCAGCCGCUGGCUCUUCUGGGGAAGACAGACAUCAUUUUCUCAGUGGCUAUGUUCAAAACCACCCAAAGGAACUGGUGAGCCAAAGGAAUGCUGGACCUGGAGCAGAUGGAGGCAAGAGAGGGGAAAGCAGAGAGACUUUGCCUGGUAGAGACAGAUACAGAAGGUGGACUGGCCGGAAGUCGUUAACAGUUGGUGUGUGUGUCAUCCAUCCCUGGCACUGGGAUGGCAUCUGA
This 942-nucleotide long non-coding RNA is filed under the name Canis lupus dingo (dingo). Its description in RNAcentral is "lncRNA (ENSCAFG00020005729.1)". Lineage: Eukaryota; Metazoa; Chordata; Mammalia; Carnivora; Canidae. The record is from RNAcentral.